GCCCCGGUGGCUCAGCCUGGUAGAACAGUCAAGAUGCCACAAGCGCCGCCUUGGUAAGGCGAAGGUCGCGGGUUCAAACCCCGCCCGGGGCUCCA
RNAcentral lists this transfer RNA (95 nucleotides) under archaeon RBG_16_50_20. Its description in RNAcentral is "tRNA-Thr". It matches the Rfam family "tRNA". From Rfam's summary of the family: Transfer RNA (tRNA) molecules are approximately 80 nucleotides in length. The record is from RNAcentral.